RNAcentral lists this ribosomal RNA (433 nucleotides) under uncultured Streptococcus sp. Its description in RNAcentral is "bacterial SSU rRNA". It matches the Rfam family "Bacterial small subunit ribosomal RNA", at positions 958 to 1393 of the family's 1533-position model. The record is from RNAcentral. Lineage: Bacteria; Bacillati; Bacillota; Bacilli; Lactobacillales; Streptococcaceae.
AACGCGAAGAACCUUACCAGGUCUUGACAUCCCAGUGACCGCUCUAGAGAUAGAGUUUUUCUUCGGAACACUGGUGACAGGUGGUGCAUGGUUGUCGUCAGCUCGUGUCGUGAGAUGUUGGGUUAAGUCCCGCAACGAGCGCAACCCUUAUUGUUAGUUGCCAUCAUUCAGUUGGGCACUCUAGCGAGACUGCCGGUAAUAAACCGGAGGAAGGUGGGGAUGACGUCAAAUCAUCAUGCCCCUUAUGACCUGGGCUACACACGUGCUACAAUGGUUGGUACAACGAGUCGCAAGUCGGUGACGGCAAGCAAAUCUCUUAAAGCCAAUCUCAGUUCGGAUUGUAGGCUGCAACUCGCCUACAUGAAGUCGGAAUCGCUAGUAAUCGCGAAUCAGAAUGUCGCGGUGAAUACGUUCCCGGGUCUUGUACACACGC